CCUACGGGCGGCAGCAGUGGGGAAUAUUGGGCAAUGGACGCAAGUCUGACCCAGCAACGCCGCGUGAAGGAAGAAGGCUUUCGGGUUGUAAACUUCCUUUAAGGGGGAAGAGCAGAAGACGGUACCCCUUGAAUAAGCCACGGCGAACUACGUGCCAGCAGCCGCGGUGAUACGUAGGUGGCAAGCGUUGUCCGGAUUUACUGGGGGUAAAGGGCGUGCAGCCGGAGAGACAAGUCAGAUGUGAAAUCCACGGGCUCAACCCGUGAACUGCAUUUGAAACUGUUUCCCUUGAGUGUCGGAGAAGUAAUCGGAAUGCCUAGUGUAGCGGUGAAAUGCAUAGAUAUUAGGAAGAACACCAGUGGCGAAGGCGGAUUACUGGACGAUAACUGACGGUGAGGCGCGAAAGCGUGGGGAGCGAACAGGAUUAGAUACCCGGGUAGUC
RNAcentral lists this ribosomal RNA (442 nucleotides) under uncultured bacterium. RNAcentral describes it as "partial 16S ribosomal RNA". It matches the Rfam family "Bacterial small subunit ribosomal RNA", at positions 338 to 795 of the family's 1533-position model. The record is from RNAcentral.